GUCCUCUGAGGUGCUGGGACGAGGAGGACUCGUGCGGGCACCUCCAGAGACAGCGGGAACGGGAGCGUGCUGCGGAGAAGGAAAAUUCCAGAAUUGCCACGAGAGGAAAUACCUCAGAGGGGCUUCCCUCCAGAUAAGCCCUGAAUAUGCCAGGAGGUUUCAGCCGGGAGAAAGGAGCUGUGGAAGAAAACCAGCC
Chiroxiphia lanceolata (lance-tailed manakin) is the source of this 196-nucleotide long non-coding RNA. RefSeq lists it as uncharacterized. Lineage: Eukaryota; Metazoa; Chordata; Aves; Passeriformes; Pipridae. The record is from RefSeq and is a predicted model, not a curated record. The transcript has 2 exons.